CCUACGGGAGGCAGCAGUGAGGAAUAUUGGACAAUGGACGAGAGUCUGAACCAGCCAAGUAGCGUGAAGGAUGACUGCCCUAUGGGUUGUAAACUUCUUUUAUAUGGGAAUAAAAUGUUCCACGUGUGGGAUUUUGUAUGUACCAUAUGAAUAAGGAUCGGCUAACUACGUGCCAGCAGCCGCGGUAAUACGGAGGGUCCGAGCGUUAUCCGGAUUUAUUGGGUUUAAAGGGAGCGUAGGUGGAUUGUUAAGUCAGUUGUGAAAGUUUGCGGCUCAACCGUAAAAUUGCAGUUGAAACUGGCAGUCUUGAGUACAGUAGAGGUGGGCGGAAUUCGUGGUGUAGCGGUGAAAUGCUUAGAUAUCACGAAGAACUCCGAUUGCGAAGGCAGCUCACUGGACUGCAACUGACACUGAGGCGCGAAAGUGUGGGUAGCAAACAGGAUUAGAUACCCGAGUAGUC
Molecule: ribosomal RNA, 460 nt
Filed under: uncultured bacterium
Lineage: Bacteria
Description: partial 16S ribosomal RNA
Rfam family: Bacterial small subunit ribosomal RNA
Source: RNAcentral